Molecule: microRNA precursor, 77 nt
Filed under: Strongylocentrotus purpuratus (purple sea urchin)
Lineage: Eukaryota; Metazoa; Echinodermata; Echinoidea; Camarodonta; Strongylocentrotidae
Description: microRNA spu-mir-210 precursor
Gene: spu-mir-210
Source: miRBase by way of RNAcentral
CUCGUUAGUUGCUGUCACGCGGCACAAGAGAGCAAUCAUGUCUAUACACUCUUGUGCGUGCGACAGCGACUGAUACA